AGUCUUAGCAAGUCACAGAACUUUAGACUCCAGGGGCUCUGGAGGGCACUCCGCACAGCACGGCCUCUCACUUGGCCGAGGAGACCACUGGCACCCAGGAGGUUAAGUUCCCUGUCUGUCCACAGCAAUUCUACUAGCCCGCGCUGAAGUUACACCAAGGCAAGCAGCUUAAUUUUGGCCAACCCGAAGGAUUUAGGCAGGAUUUGGGUGGAAGGCAGGCUGGGCGACCCUUGAGGAGAGUUGCUAAACGUUGUACAGAUAAAAUGAAAUAGGUCAUGUGGUCACGUGGUCAUAGUUAACAACACUUGACGCCACCAAGUCCGCGGAAAGAUGCUCAACACCACUAAUCACGAGGCAAGUGCAAACCAAACCCAUCAUGCACCAGGCUGGCCACUGUCAAAAAACAGAAAAUAACAGUUGGUGAAGAUGUGCAGAAACUGGAAGCCUUGUACACUGUUGGAGAGAAUGUGAAAUGGUGCAGUUACGUUGGGAAACAGUAUGUAAUCGCCUUAAAAAAUUCAACAUAGAACUACCAUAUGAUCCAGCAACUUCACUUCUGGGUAUAUACCCAAAAUAAUUGGAACCAGGGGUGCCAAGGGAUGUUUGUACCAUCAAGUUCAUAGUGGCAUUAUUUACAAUAGCUAAAGUAUGGAAGCAGCAAGCCAGGUGUCCACUGACAGAUGCGUGGAGAAACAAAAUGUGGUAUCUACAUACAAUGGAAUAUCAUUCAGCCUAAAAAAAGGAAGGAAACUGUGACAGUGCUACACCAUCGGUGAACCUUGCAGACAUUAUGCUAAGUGAAAUGAGCCACAAAAGUCACAGUAAGCCACAAAAAGACAAAUACUAGAUGAUUUCACUUAUGUGAGGCACCUAGAGCAGUCAAGCUCAUAGGGACAGAAAGUAGAAUGGGGUGGUGCGGGGCAUGGGGUAGAAGGAAACGGGAGUCAUUGUUUCUUGAGUCCAGAGCUUUACUUAGGCAAGAUGAGUUCUGGAGAGGGAUGAUGAUGAUGGUUGCACAACAUUAUGAAUGUAUUUAAUACCAGUGAACUGUACACUUUAAAAUAGUUAAAUGGGGCCGGGCGCGUGGGCUCAUGCCUGUAAUCCCAGCACUUUGGGAGGCCGAGGCAGGCGGAUCACU
This 1138-nucleotide long non-coding RNA is filed under the name Homo sapiens (human). Its description in RNAcentral is "novel transcript". Lineage: Eukaryota; Metazoa; Chordata; Mammalia; Primates; Hominidae. The record is from RNAcentral.